CCUACGGGAGACAGCAGUGAGGAAUAUUGGUCAAUGGACGAGAGUCUGAACCAGCCAAGUAGCGUGAAGGAUGACUGCCCUAUGGGUUGUAAACUUCUUUUAUAUGGGAAUAAAAUGUUCCACGUGUGGGAUUUUGUAUGUACCAUAUGAAUAAGGAUCGGCUAACUCCGUGCCAGCAGCCACGGUAAUACGGAGGAUCCGAGCGUUAUCCGGAUUUAGUGGGUUUAAAGGGAGCGUAGGUGGAUUGUUAAGUCAGUUGUGAAAGUUUGCGGCUCAACCGUAAAAUUGCAGUUGAAACUGGCAGUCUUGAGUACAGUAGAGGUGGGCGGAAUUCGUGGUGUAGCGGUGAAAUGCUUAGAUAUCACGAAGAACUCCGAUUGCGAAGGCAGCUCACUGGACUGCAACUGACACUGAGGCUCGAAAGUGUGGGUAUCAAACAGGAUUAGAUACCCCUGUAGUC
Molecule: ribosomal RNA, 460 nt
Filed under: uncultured bacterium
Lineage: Bacteria
Description: partial 16S ribosomal RNA
Rfam family: Bacterial small subunit ribosomal RNA
Source: RNAcentral